Molecule: long non-coding RNA, 1501 nt
Filed under: Piliocolobus tephrosceles (Ugandan red Colobus)
Lineage: Eukaryota; Metazoa; Chordata; Mammalia; Primates; Cercopithecidae
Description: lncRNA (ENSPTEG00000008471.1)
Source: RNAcentral
GAUUGAAAUAUAUAAUAAAACACUACAUGCUCUUGUUUUAUUAUUAUUUUUUUAAAUAUAACAAUAGAUAUGAAUCAAUAUAAUAAAUUAUAUAACCUAUAGAAUUAUAAGCUUAUGUAUACAUUAAAAAAAAAAAAAAAAAAAAAAAAAUUAGAAAUUAAUUAAUAACUGUUCUUUAAUAUAUAUAUUUUUUUAUUUCGCCUUAUAAAUACGUAUAACUAAAAAAAUAAAAACUAUAAAACAUAUGACAUUUUGUAGCUACAUAUAGUUAUUUAUUUUCUGUUUUUGUUUUUUUUUUAGUGAACAUUGAAAACCUUAGAAUUUAAAGUAAAAAUAAAAUAUAUUAUUACUAUUAUUUAGAGUUUUUCUUUAUUUUUAUUAAAAGGUAAUGAUGUUAAUUACAAACUUGUAUAAACUAAUAGUUUAAAAGCUUAAAUUACGAAUUUUAUUAUAUAACGACUAUAAAAAAAAAUAAAAUAUAUAUAUAUAUGUUAUAAAGCUAGAGAAUUUUUUUUUUUAGUUUUUAUACAUAAUUCAACUAAAUGUUAAAGUUUUAACAAAAAAAUUACAUAAAUUAUACGCCUAAUUUUAUUUUUUUUAGUUAUUAUACAUAAUUCAGUUAAGUGUUAGAAUAUUAAUAAAAAUUUAUAUAAAUUAUAAGCAUAAUUUUUUAUUUUAUAUUUAAAUUUUAAAGUUAUAAAUAAAUUUAAUAUAACAUGAGUUUGUAUAGUUUUUAUAAUAAUUUGAUCCUUUAUGAAACAGAUUAAUUAUUUAUAAAGCAUAAUACAAAUUUUAUUAAUUUUUUUAUUAAAGUAUAUAUAUAUAUAUAUAUAUAUAUAUAUAUAUAUAGUUAUUUAUUAAAACUCACAAUAAAGAUGUUCUUUUCAAUUUUUAUUUUAUUUAAUUAUUUAUUUGUUUUAUAUAUUUACCGAACUAGCAACCAAAUAAAAUGUUAUACAAAAAAGCAUUUAGGUACUGCUUUAAGCAUGUUUUUGAUUAUAUUGUGCAUUACAGAACGGUUAGAUAAUUAUAUGAAUGGUCAAAUGAUAACAUCCCAAAUUAGAGGAAGAAUAUUAGGACAAGUGCAAAGAAGCAAUGAUAAUUCAAUGUCACAAAAGACUGUAAGAAAUAAACAAAUACGUAAUGAAAAUGGAACUAAAGUAAGUGAAGUUUCAGAUGAACAUUAUGAGAAAGUUUAUUUAGAAAUGAUAUCCAAUAUUUAUAAUAAUAGUUAUAGUCAAUUUUUUUAACAAUUAUAUCAAUCAACAUAUGGGUGAACAUACAUAUGUUAUGCCAGAAAAAAAAAAUGUAUAUGUGGGAUUUAGAAUCCAAUAAUUUGGUUGAAGUUGAUAUAAAUGCAAACAAGAGAACAGGACAUGCUAAUAAUCGUGAAGAAUUUGUAGAUCAUGUUAAUAUGUUUGAAAAUAUAAUGCAGCAAUAUAAAGAGUAUGAAAAUAAUUUAUUGGGAUUAAUAAAAACAUUAAAUGAUGUAGUUGAUUCA